GGUAAAAUGGCUGAGAUGUAGGUAAUAAACUGUAAAUUUAUUUAGGAAAUUUUAAUUUCUUUUACCA
Molecule: transfer RNA, 67 nt
Filed under: Pterostichus melanarius
Lineage: Eukaryota; Metazoa; Arthropoda; Insecta; Coleoptera; Carabidae
Description: tRNA-Tyr
Source: RNAcentral